Molecule: small nuclear RNA, 22 nt
Filed under: Arabidopsis thaliana (thale cress)
Lineage: Eukaryota; Viridiplantae; Streptophyta; Magnoliopsida; Brassicales; Brassicaceae
Description: snRNA_03706
Source: RNAcentral
UGAGUCAAAAGUAGCUGGUAAA